RNAcentral lists this long non-coding RNA (1109 nucleotides) under Manacus vitellinus (golden-collared manakin). RNAcentral's name for it is "lncRNA (ENSMVIG00005011331.1)". The record is from RNAcentral. Lineage: Eukaryota; Metazoa; Chordata; Aves; Passeriformes; Pipridae.
GUACUGUUCCUGCCCAUGGCUCAGCAGAGGGGAAGGAAAAAAUGCUACCUGCAGUUUAACAGUUCUGUGAAUGAAAAAACUUACUUUUAAUGCACAUCUUGCAACCUGGUAGGACUCAAGGAGAGACUGGCACGGCUAAGAUUGCAAUUCCUCCAGCAACUCACAUCUUUCUCAUGAAGUCUUGUCUGAGGAAUACUGGGGCAUGUGUCAGCAGAGAAGCUGUGGUGUUGCACUUUAACAGGGGGGUAUGUCAUUUGUGCCUCAUAUGUCUGAAAAUGGAAAGGGGUUAGGGAACUGAGUAUUGCCAGUCACAAAGUUCAAAAAAACUGCUAGGGCUGAAAAUGCUGUUUUACAAAGAUGUGGGGUCAGGGAGUGCAAGUCUUUCUUCUAUUUUUUGUGUUCCGGUUGAUUUGGGCCAUCUUUUUAAAUUAUUUCAACAACCAUAAGGGCCAGAAACUUACUGUUUUGUAACAUCUUUUAUGUCUCUCUCUUUUUUUUUUUAGUUUGUAUUUUGAUUCUUGAAACUCUUCAUAAAGCUUGAAUUUCAUAUAGAAUAGCCCUAUUUCUUCUUUAAAUUUGAUGAUAUGCUCUCAUUUUCAUGUAUGUAUUAGCCAAGUGUAAUAUUUCUUUUAAAGCUUUUAAUAUUUUCAGGCUUCCUUCCAUUUAAAAUUAUAAUUCUCUGCUAUGUCAAUUAAAUACUACACCAAUUUUCUUGAAGUUGAGUAAUUUUUGCCUUCAGUUCUACCUCUGAAUUUCAUCAGCACCAGUUAGGGCUGUCCAUCAGCAGCACAUUACUUAAACCUGUACAAAAAAUAUCCAGCUUUUUAUCAUUAAUCUGGUAUUUCUAGAAUAUAUUUCUACAUUUCAAUUCUUCUCUUUUCACUACAAUUUGUUUUACUCAUCACUAAUGUGGUUGCAGCUCAACUCAGCUCAGUUUGCUUCGCUGGGACUACAUUCAAUCAGGAAAAAAAUUCAGGCUUGUCUCCAAUUUCUUUAUCUGGAGGAGAAAGAGCUGGUAUCAGCAUGUUCAUACCCUGAUUAACAGUUUUAAGAACAGACAAAGUAUAAACACUUGAAAUAAAUUAAUUUAUUUGCUAAGGAAAUUACCA